RNAcentral lists this ribosomal RNA (254 nucleotides) under uncultured bacterium. Its description in RNAcentral is "partial 16S ribosomal RNA". It matches the Rfam family "Bacterial small subunit ribosomal RNA", at positions 524 to 776 of the family's 1533-position model. The record is from RNAcentral.
UACGGGGGGAGCAAGCGUUGUUCGGAUUUACUGGGCGUAAAGGGCGCGUAGGCGGUCGUGUCACGUCACUUGUGAAAUCUCCGGGCUUAACUCGGAACGGUCAAGUGAUACUGUCGGACUAGAGUACAGAAGGGGCAACUGGAAUUCUCGGUGUAGCGGUGAAAUGCGUAGAUAUCGAGAGGAACACCUGCGGCGAAGGCGGGUUGCUGGGCUGAUACUGACGCUGAGGCGCGAAAGCCAGGGGAGCGAACGGG